GUUAAAGAACUAAAAACAUUUCCCCUAACACUUUUAACUAAUAACUAGAUUUUAACCCGCGGUACACCGGGGGGACAAUUUAUUUUUUAAAGUUAGUGUAUAUAAAAAUUUGUAAAUUGUAUUUAUCUAUAAAAUAUUUUUAUUUUAUAGUUUACAACUGUUAUUAAGUAACGUCCUGCCAAACCCGUCCCGCAAAACCCAUCCUGCAAAAAAAACUAUUUACUUUAUUAAUGUUGAUCUUAUUUAUGAAUCAUUGUCUAAAUAUUUUAGUCGAUGCGGGAUGUUGAACCCACACAUUUUUCGCCAAUUGGUUAAUAUAUGUUCAUUUUUAAAAUUUUGAAUCACAAAAUAUGACGGAAUUUUUUUUGAGAUUUUUUAAACUAUAUAUUAAUAAUGAUGUUAAAUUUUUUGAUAUAUUAAACUUUUUAUAAGUUUAAAUAUUAAUAAUGUUUUAUAAAGUUUAAAUAUAUAAAUAAUAAU
RNAcentral lists this small RNA (480 nucleotides) under Arabidopsis thaliana (thale cress). RNAcentral's name for it is "ATSL049620". Lineage: Eukaryota; Viridiplantae; Streptophyta; Magnoliopsida; Brassicales; Brassicaceae. The record is from RNAcentral.